RNAcentral lists this ribosomal RNA (257 nucleotides) under uncultured bacterium. RNAcentral describes it as "partial 16S ribosomal RNA". It matches the Rfam family "Bacterial small subunit ribosomal RNA", at positions 524 to 776 of the family's 1533-position model. The record is from RNAcentral.
UACGUAGGGUGCGAGCGUUAAUCGGAAUUACUGGGCGUAAAGCGUGCGCAGGCGGUCUGUUAAGACCGAUGUGAAAUCCCCGGGCUUAACCUGGGAACUGCAUUGGUGACUGGCAGGCUUUGAGUGUGGCAGAGGGAGGUAGAAUUCCACGUGUAGCAGUGAAAUGCGUAGAGAUGCGGAGGAACACCGAUGGCGAAGGCAGCCCCCCUGGGCUAACACUGACGCUGAGGCACGAAAAGCGUGGGGGAGCAAACAGG